This is a non-coding RNA of Cajanus cajan (pigeon pea), 524 nucleotides long. The record is from RefSeq and is a predicted model, not a curated record. Lineage: Eukaryota; Viridiplantae; Streptophyta; Magnoliopsida; Fabales; Fabaceae.
UUGGAAAUCAUUUUUGAAGGUGACCCACGGUGAUUCUUGUGGGGAUUUGUUUGGGGAAGGAAGAAGAAGCAAACACCGCCGUCGAAAAUCAUUUCCGAUGGCGGUGGCUCACGGUGGUCCUUGCGUUUUGGCCAUAGACUCACGGGCACGAAAAAGAGGUGACAGAGUGAGCGAGAGGGAAAAGAAAAAAAGAAAAAAAAUGGAAGAACACACUAUGGUUGCUGGAAAUCAGCACGAACAACAAAUCGUUGAGGGCAUGGUGAUUUAUUUGCAGUGGUAAGGUAGCUCUGUGAGAAUUGUAGUAGAGUAGUUGAGGGGAGCAGUUGCUGGGGUUCACGGAGGAUAAUAGAAGAUACGAGCAACAUGUUUUUUCUUCUUAUUUUUCUAUUUUGUUUUGUUGUUUAUUUUUUUUAUUUUUUUUGUUUUUUGCUUUUAAUCUGUAUUAUAUUUUGUAAUAUUAUGGACUGGACUUUUUUGAUUUAUACAGGAAGACAAAAUUUGGAGUUAAUCGUCGCCUUUUUGGA